Molecule: non-coding RNA, 168 nt
Filed under: unclassified sequences
Description: RT-2 RNA
Rfam family: RT-2 RNA
About the family: Coriobacteriales (Actinobacteria), Clostridiales (Firmicutes). Downstream gene
Source: Rfam by way of RNAcentral
CGGGCACGCGCCCGUAAAGACGCAUCCCGCUGGGAGGGCAGUCCGCUCCUUGCAUGGCCGCGAGCUUCGGCGCUCGACGCGGUUUCAUUGCUCCUCCCUAAGCGGCCUGGGAACGCCGGCGCCCAUAGGCGCAGGCCGUGCGGGAUGCCAUCAUGAAUAGCGAUGAGC